GCUCUUGUGGCGGAACUGGUAGACGCGCGCGACUCAAAAUCGCGUUCUUUUCAAGAGUGUGAGUUCGAUUCUCACCGAGAGCACCA
Molecule: transfer RNA, 86 nt
Filed under: Silvanigrellaceae bacterium
Lineage: Bacteria; Pseudomonadati; Bdellovibrionota; Oligoflexia; Silvanigrellales; Silvanigrellaceae
Description: tRNA-Leu
Rfam family: tRNA
About the family: Transfer RNA (tRNA) molecules are approximately 80 nucleotides in length. Their secondary structure includes four short double-helical elements and three loops (D, anti-codon, and T loops).
Source: RNAcentral